Long non-coding RNA from Panicum virgatum (switchgrass), 339 nucleotides. RefSeq lists it as uncharacterized. NCBI's taxonomy places the organism in Eukaryota, Viridiplantae, Streptophyta, Magnoliopsida, Poales, Poaceae. The record is from RefSeq and is a predicted model, not a curated record. The transcript is spliced from 2 exons.
AUGAGUGCUUCCACUGUUUUGACAAGGGGCAUCGCAAAGCAGAUUGUCCCGCUUAUUUAAAGAUGAUAAUGGCAAAGAAUGGGAUUCCGUUCGACAAGGACUACGCUAAGAAGCGAAAGACAAAUUAAAGUCGCGAAUGGAGUACAAGCAGAUGUGGAAGCUGUUGGCGAUGUCUCCCUCGAGCUAGUUAAUGGUUUCAUGCUUGUAUUAAAAGAUGUUUUAUUUGUUCCUUCGCUUCAAAGAAACUUGAUCAGUGUAUCACGCUUAGACACAGAUGGUUUUGGUUGUCAUUUUGCGAAUGGCAAAUGUGAACUAUGGUUUGAUAAUAAUUGUAUUGGU